Molecule: ribosomal RNA, 328 nt
Filed under: uncultured eukaryote
Lineage: Eukaryota
Description: partial 18S ribosomal RNA
Rfam family: Eukaryotic small subunit ribosomal RNA
Source: RNAcentral
CCCUUAGAUGUCCGGGGCUGCACGCGCGCUACACUGACUGGCUCAGCGUGUGCCUACCCUACGCCGGCAGGCGCGGGUAACCCGUUGAACCCCAUUCGUGAUGGGGAUCGGGGAUUGCAAUUAUUCCCCAUGAACGAGGAAUUCCCAGUAAGUGCGGGUCAUAAGCUUGCGUUGAUUAAGUCCCUGCCCUUUGUACACACCGCCCGUCGCUACUACCGAUUGAGUGGUCCGGUGAGGCUUUGGGAUCUGAGCGGAAAGAGCGUUUCGCUGUUUCUGCUCGGAAAACUCAGUCGAACCUUAUCAUUUAGAGGAAGGAGAAGUCGUAACA